CCUACGGGAGGCAGCAGUGGGGAAUAUUGGACAAUGGGGGGAACCCUGAUCCAGCCAUGCCGCGUGUGUGAAGAAGGCCUUUUGGUUGUAAAGCACUUUAAGCGAGGAGGAGGCGCUCUAGGAUAAUACCCUAGAUGCGUGGACGUUACUCGCAGAAUAAGCACCGGCUAACUCUGUGC
This 179-nucleotide ribosomal RNA is filed under the name uncultured bacterium. RNAcentral describes it as "partial 16S ribosomal RNA". It matches the Rfam family "Bacterial small subunit ribosomal RNA", at positions 338 to 508 of the family's 1533-position model. The record is from RNAcentral.